UGGGGAAUAUUGGACAAUGGGCGAAAGCCUGAUCCAGCCAUGCCGCGUGAGUGAUGAAGGCCCUAGGGUUGUAAAGCUCUUUCACCGGUGAAGAUAAUGACGGUAACCGGAGAAGAAGCCCCGGCUAACUUCGUGCCAGCAGCCGCGGUAAUACGAAGGGGGCUAGCGUUGUUCGGAAUUACUGGGCGUAAAGCGCACGUAGGCGGAUUGUUAAGUCGGGGGUGAAAUCCCGGGGCUCAACCCCGGAACUGCCUUCGAUACUGGCAAUCUAGAGUCCGGAAGAGGUGAGUGGAAUUCCGAGUGCAGAGGUGAAAUUCGUAGAUAUUCGGAGGAACACCAGUGGCGAAGGCGGCUCACUGGUCCGGUACUGACGCUGAGGUGCGAAAGCGUGGGGAGCAAACA
This 402-nucleotide ribosomal RNA is filed under the name uncultured bacterium. RNAcentral's name for it is "bacterial SSU rRNA". It matches the Rfam family "Bacterial small subunit ribosomal RNA", at positions 355 to 774 of the family's 1533-position model. The record is from RNAcentral.